RNAcentral lists this ribosomal RNA (408 nucleotides) under uncultured microorganism. Its description in RNAcentral is "bacterial SSU rRNA". It matches the Rfam family "Bacterial small subunit ribosomal RNA", at positions 9 to 412 of the family's 1533-position model. The record is from RNAcentral.
GAGUUUGAUCAUGGCUCAGAUUGAACGCUGGCGGCAUGCCUUACACAUGCAAGUCGAACGGCAGCAUGAUCUAGCUUGCUAGAUUGAUGGCGAGUGGCGAACGGGUGAGUAAUACAUCGGAACGUGCCCUGUAGUGGGGGAUAACUAGUCGAAAGAUUAGCUAAUACCGCAUACGACCUGAGGGUGAAAGUGGGGGACCGCAAGGCCUCAUGCUAUAGGAGCGGCCGAUGUCUGAUUAGCUAGUUGGUGGGGUAAAGGCCCACCAAGGCGACGAUCAGUAGCUGGUCUGAGGAGGACGAUCAGCCACACUGGGACUGAGACACGGCCCAGACUCCUACGGGAGGCAGCAGUGGGGUAAUUUGGACAAUGGGCGAAAGCCUGAUCCAGCAAUGCCGCGUGUGUGAAGAA